This 1055-nucleotide long non-coding RNA is filed under the name Sorghum bicolor (sorghum). RNAcentral describes it as "long non-coding RNA (SBIC_LNC016731)". Lineage: Eukaryota; Viridiplantae; Streptophyta; Magnoliopsida; Poales; Poaceae. The record is from RNAcentral.
GACAAAUGAGAGGAAUAAUGGAGCUGAAGCUCUACCAAACGUUUUACCGGAGUCUAGCUCUGUGGUAGAACUGCUAUGUGGUGGAGCAGCAGCUCUAGAGCUGGUUUGACAGAGCUGGAGCUCUACUAAACAGGCCCUAUAUAGGCACUCCAGGACCCGUUUAUAGAACAAGUGCUGCUAUGUGCAUCAACACAUCUAUCUGGACUUUUCUUUUCCAAAAAAGAACUAGGGUGAUUAAUGCUGCAUGUAAAUGGGUCUUAUACAAGAUCUAUAACACUAAAUGACAGAAUAUUAAGACCCAUUAACUAGUCAUGGCGAAAUCUAUGCAACUGUUUUAGUAUGAAGGUGAAUUUUUCAAGACAAGUGACUUGAGUGUUCAAGUCUUUUCCAUUUUUCUUACACCAAUAAAGAAGAACAGAUAAAGAGGGAUAAAGGAGCUGGGAGCAAGGGCUCUCUCUACUUGUGGAUAAAAGCCAUUUAUGAUAUAACACGCAUUACAUCUAUAUCCACUAAAAAAUUGAACUAAUUCUGUGUGUUUCUUAUUUAACAUAUGUGCAUUAGAUUGGGGAAAAUGUUGUAAUGUAAUCAGUUUUAAUAAGAACACACAGCAAUUAGAUUUAUUCAAUGGAACUCAAGAGAAGGAAAUGAAUCCCCUGGAAGGCUGCAACACAAAAAAAUAUCGAAGUUAAGUAGGAUUAGAACCAUAUGCUCCAAAUGAAAGAACACCAAGCAAUAAUAGCUACUCAACAUACCUGGACAAUUUGUUGCUGUCACAAAGAGUGUUGUUUCAUUUACAACUAGCAGGUCAGGAAUGGUCCAUGUGAACUUAGAUCAAAACUGUAGCAGAAAGUAGUACUCAAAUCCAAAGUGAGCACUAGGUUCUGUCGUGUGGCAGGGCAGUGCUUUUUCUGGGGUCAAGAUGGUACAGCAGUCCUCUUUGCUUUCUAACACCAUCACACGAUUUAAAGGCUCCGCACAGGUAUUCCCCUGCCUCCUUCCAGCUGAAUUGUUGGUACUGUGUACUUAUUAUUCUUAAACUACACAUCAGCCCCCCC